This is a non-coding RNA of Oryza glumipatula, 204 nucleotides long. The record is from Rfam. Lineage: Eukaryota; Viridiplantae; Streptophyta; Magnoliopsida; Poales; Poaceae.
AAAAAGACAAACCUGAUUUCCGUGUCCAAUAUUUGACCGUCCGUCUUAUUUGAAAAAAUUAUGAAAAAAAUUAAAAAGACAAGCAACGUAUAAAGUAUUAAUCAUGUUUUAUCAUCUAACAACAAUAAAAAUACGAAUUAUAAAAAAAUUUCAUAUAAGACUUACGGUCAAAGUUGGACACGAAAAAUUAGGGUUUACCUUUUU